UCCACCACUUCUACUCAGAUCUUAUGACCUUGCCCUAGCCUACACAACUUUCGCUCAACCUAUACUCUCACAUGACCACUUCUACUCUAUCCACACAAAACCUCCUCACAAUAGAGAUUACAAUAUCCAUAUUCGACUUAAUAACCUCAUCCGCACCUCUUCUCCCUCACUCCCGAUCACCUCAUUCAACCGAUUCUAAGAAAAGAAAAAAAUACAAGUAGAAUUGGUCUUGUUUUAUCAUACCGAGUCAGAAACUCUAAAUUCCCU
This 267-nucleotide long non-coding RNA is filed under the name Carica papaya (papaya). RNAcentral describes it as "long non-coding RNA (CPAP_LNC000364)". Lineage: Eukaryota; Viridiplantae; Streptophyta; Magnoliopsida; Brassicales; Caricaceae. The record is from RNAcentral.